This 484-nucleotide ribosomal RNA is filed under the name uncultured bacterium. RNAcentral's name for it is "partial 16S ribosomal RNA". The stretch from base 56 to 484 matches the Rfam family "Bacterial small subunit ribosomal RNA", at positions 39 to 507 of the family's 1533-position model. The record is from RNAcentral.
GGGGGGGGGGGGGGGGGGGGGGGGGGGGGGGGGGGGGGGGGGCGGAGGGGGGGGGGGGGCGGGAUGCGGGGGGGGACGGGGGGGGCAUGGCUAGGGAGCGGCCGGGGAGUGGGGGAUAGCGUGCGGGAAGGGGGGCUAAUCGCGCGGACGUCCGGGGGGAGAAAGGGGGGGAACUGCGGACAUCACGCUAGAAGCUGAGGCUAGGUCGGAUGAGCGAGUUGGUGUGGUAAGGGCCUACCAAGGCGACGAUCAGUAACAGGUCUGAGAGGAUGAUCAGUCACACUGGAACUGAGACACGGUCCAGACUCCUACGGGAGGCAGCAGUGGGGAAUAUUGGACAAUGGGCGAAAGCCUGAUCCAGCCAUGCCGCGUGUGUGAAGAAGGUCUUCGGAUUGUAAAGCACUUUAAGUUGGGAGGAAGGGCAGUAAGUUAAUACCUUGCUGUUUUGACGUUACCAACAGAAUAAGCACCGGCUAACUUCGUG